RNAcentral lists this ribosomal RNA (502 nucleotides) under uncultured bacterium. Its description in RNAcentral is "bacterial SSU rRNA". It matches the Rfam family "Bacterial small subunit ribosomal RNA", at positions 21 to 507 of the family's 1533-position model. The record is from RNAcentral.
GGCUCAGGAUGAACGCUAGCUACAGGCUUAACACAUGACAAGUCGAGGGGAAACGAUAUUGGAAGCUUGCUUCUGAUAGGCGUCGACCGGCGCACGGGUGAGUAACGCGUAUCCAACCUGCCCAUCACUUGGGGAUAACCUUGCGAAAGUAAGACUAAUACCCAAUGACGUCUCUAGAAGACAUCUGAAAGAGAUUAAAGAUUUAUCGGGUGAUGGAUGGGGAUGCGUCUGAUUAGCUUGUUGGCGGGGUAACGGCCCACCAAGGCGACGAUCAGUAGGGGGUUCUGAGAGGAAGGUCCCCCACAUUGGAACUGAGACACGGUCCAAACUCCUACGGGAGGCAGCAGUGAGGAAUAUUGGUCAAUGGACGAGAGUCUGAACCAGCCAAGUAGCGUGCAGGAUGACGGCCCUAUGGGUUGUAAACUGCUUUUAUAAGGGAAUAAAGUGGGAGUCGUGACUCUUUUUGCAUGUACCUUAUGAAUAAGGACCGGCUAAUUCCGUG